Molecule: ribosomal RNA, 477 nt
Filed under: uncultured bacterium
Lineage: Bacteria
Description: partial 16S ribosomal RNA
Rfam family: Bacterial small subunit ribosomal RNA
Source: RNAcentral
GAUGAACGCUGGCGGCGUGCUUAACACAUGCAAGUCGAACGGGAAUUAUUUUAUUGAAACUUCGGUCGAUUUAAUUUAAUUCUAGUGGCGGACGGGUGAGUAACGCGUGGGUAACCUGCCUUAUACAGGGGGAUAACAGUCAGAAAUGGCUGCUAAUACCGCAUAAGCGCACAGAGCUGCAUGGCUCAGUGUGAAAAACUCCGGUGGUAUAAGAUGGACCCGCGUUGGAUUAGCUUGUUGGCAGGGUAACGGCCUACCAAGGCGACGAUCCAUAGCCGGCCUGAGAGGGUGAACGGCCACAUUGGGACUGAGACACGGCCCAGACUCUACGGGAGGCAGCAGUGGGGAAUAUUGCACAAUGGGGGAAACCCUGAUGCAGCGACGCCGCGUGAAGGAAGAAGUAUCUCGGUAUGUAAACUUCUAUCAGCAGGGAAGAUAGUGACGGUACCUGACUAAGAAGCCCCGGCUAACUACGUG